CUCUUUCAAAAAACGUCUUUAAUACACAAAAACGUACAGAAUAUAAACAUCAAUAGUAUUCAUGUAUUAAACAAAUAGCACAUGUACUUAUAAACACAAUUUCUCGCCCAUCGUUUUUUUAAAGCACCAAUUCACUGACAUCAUUCCUUGAGAUUAUAAAAGUUUACUAGCGUUAGUCUGACCAAUCAAUCAAAAACCUAAAUAAUUAUAUUCCUAAUUGUGCCUAUAUUCUAAUUACCCAUAAUUCAUUAAGAAUCUCCUCGACUCCCUCUUGUUUAUGACCCUGUUUAUGUUGGCUCCAGAUAGAAGUCGCCCUUAGGUACAGAUCUAGGAUCAGUUUUCCCUCACCCAAAGGACAAUGCAACAACGUCUCCUCUUCACCCCCUGCUGACAUCACCAAUUCAAGUCCUUAUCCAGUCAUUAGGCAGAAUAGUCUAUGUAAUAUUAUGUCAAAUAGGGUCUGUUUCAUACAUGUACACAUGUGGAGGCCAGUAGGAGUGUGUUUCAUCCCCCUGAGACCCUCUCAGACAGUGAGGUUACAGAUCAGCCACGUGUGGUGGCCAGUGGGAGUGUGUUUCAUCCCCCUGAGACCCUCUCAGACAGUGAGGUUACAGAUCAGCCACGUGUGGUGGCCAGUAGGAGUGUGUUUCACAUGUUUCCCAUGACAAUAAAGCCCCUUGGAUUGAAUUAAGAGAGAGAGAGAGAGAGACAGACACACAGAGAGAGACACAGAGAGAGACACAGAGAGAGAGAGAGAGACACAGAGAGAGAGACACACAGAGAGAGACACACAGAGAGAGACACAGAGAGAGACACAGAGAGAGAGAGAGAGAGAGAGAGAGAGAGACACAGAGAGAGAGACACAGAGAGAGACACAGAGAGAGAGACACAGAGAGAGACACAGAGAGAGAGAGAGAGAGACACACAGAGAGAGAGACACAGAGAGAGACACACAGAGAGACAGAGAGAGAGAGACACACAGAGAGAGACACACAGAGAGAGACACACAGAGAGAGACACAGAGAGAGAGAGAGAGAGAGAGAGAGAGAGAGAGAGAGAGAGAGAGAAAGAGAGGGAGAGAGAGAGAGAGAGAGAGAGAGAGAGAGAGAGAGAGGGAGAAAGAGAGGGAGAGAGAGAGAGAGAUAGGGAGAAAGAGAGGGAGAGAGAGGAAGAAAGUAUAGUGGAGUAACUUGUUAAAGGUCUGUGUGUGUCUGCACCUGUAUAACUCCUGGAACACUAACAACUGGUCCUUCCAUUAAACCAGUUGUGCUUUACAAACUAUCCCUCUGAUACACUGAGUAGGCAGCCUUUCCCUUUAACAAACUGGAACUGGUUUAUACUGUGUAACACAGUGAGGGGAAUAGACAAACACUACAGCUUGGUUGGAGGUAGAAACCAGAGCUGUGUUACCCCCUGUCUUUGACCCUGUGUGAUUAAGUCCCUGAUACAUGCAUACCAUUACUCAACCUCUAUUUCUAGUCCUUCCUCUCUCUCUCUCUCUCUCUCUCUCUCUCUCUCUCUCUCUCCUCUUUCUCUCUCUCUCUCUCUCUCCUUUCAGGCCCUCUCUGUGUGUGUUUGUGUUGGCAACAGCCUCUUAAGUGCGGUAGGUAAAAUCCCUACAUCCAACAAGCCUGCCAAGAAAGCCACACACACACACACACACGUGCGGGCACGCCAAACACACAAAGAGAGAAGGAGAGCCAAGAAAGCUUCACUCAGCUCAACCUCAGGGGGGAGAAGCUUUAGAAAACCCCAGGUCCUUUCUCCUCCCACACAAUAAGAUGUGCUGCUGUUACUGUACGUUAGUCGUUGUUAUCAUGCAGCUCUUACUAAUAUACUGUGUCUGAAAGGAGGAUCACAUUUACAUAUCUGGUUUACUUUAGGCCAGAGAAUGUUCCCACAGGAAAAACAACGCUGUUUUACAGGAGUCGGCAGCUCUUCCUCAGUUCAUGCUACUCUACUGUAAUGUUUACAUUAGUUAGUUAGUUUGUUAGUUUACACUAGAAAGGGCCGAUCUUAGAGAUGUCCUAACUUGAGGGGUCAUGACCCCACUCUCCCAUCUGGGAUACAUUCUCAAAGACUUUCUGCCUUACCCUUUCUAUCUUUCUAUUUCCCUCUCUCCUUCUCUCUCAUGAGAAUGCAGUCUCCUCUCGCUCUCUUCCAUUCACCCCUUUCUCCCUUUCUCUCAUCCUCCUUCUUUCUCCUUCUCUCUCAUCCUCCUUCUUUCCCUCUCCUUUUACCCCUUUUCGCUCCCUAUUUUUCUGUCCUCUCUACUAUUCUCAUCUCCCUCUCUGUCUCCUUCUUUCCCCUUCUCUCAGGGUAGUUCGGUCAGUCAGAGGUCUGGUUGUCAUUAGCUUCCUGUUACUGACUUAAAGAAAAACAGCCCCGACAGAGAGAGAGAGGGACGUACGGACAGACAGACAGAGAGAGAGAGAGAGAGAGAGAGAGAGGGAGGGACGGAAGGACAGAGGAUGAGAGAGAGAGGGAGAGAGAGAGCAAAAGAGGGAGGUCAGGGAGAGACAGAGAGAGACAGAGAUGGAGAGAGAGGGAGAGAGAGCAAGAGAGGGAGAGGAAGAGCAAGAGAGAGGGAGAGGAAGAGCAAGAGAGGGAGAGGAAGAGCAAGAGAGAGGGAGAGGAAGAGCAAGAGAGAGGGAGAGGAAGGAAGAGAGAGAGAGAG
Oncorhynchus tshawytscha (Chinook salmon) is the source of this 2677-nucleotide long non-coding RNA. The record is from Ensembl. Lineage: Eukaryota; Metazoa; Chordata; Actinopteri; Salmoniformes; Salmonidae.